Paramuricea clavata is the source of this 342-nucleotide non-coding RNA. The record is from the annotation of a GenBank genome assembly. NCBI's taxonomy places the organism in Eukaryota, Metazoa, Cnidaria, Anthozoa, Malacalcyonacea, Plexauridae.
GUUCACAUUGGCUUUUAUAAUAGUCGGAGAAUCAUUUGCAUAAGAUGCGUUGACAGCCGUCUUGUUUCUUUGUUGUUUUACUUGACCUCAGUUCAAUUAUUGAUCCCCACUCGAGUAAAAUUAUGCUAAAAUAUCACGUGAUUGAAACCCAAGUCCUCUUUUAGCAUCUCCCCAACCACACCCCCCAACCCCCAGUUACUGCCUUCUCCUCAGGCCCAAUAAAGUCUAGGGAGCGGUUUUUCAAAAGCCGGUUAGGGUUAGUGUUAAUGUGAAAUUCAAAGCAUAUUUCCCAGCAGCUUGUUCACAAACUUGGAGAUAUGUUUUGCAGAAAUCUUAUCUGGA